RNAcentral lists this ribosomal RNA (430 nucleotides) under uncultured bacterium. RNAcentral describes it as "partial 16S ribosomal RNA". It matches the Rfam family "Bacterial small subunit ribosomal RNA", at positions 29 to 506 of the family's 1533-position model. The record is from RNAcentral.
AACGAACGCUGGCGGCAGGCCUAACACAUGCAAGUCGAGCGCCCCGCCAGGGGAGCGGCGGACGGGUGAGUAACGCGUGGGAAUAUGCCCUUUGCUACGGAAUAGUCUCGGGAAACUGGGGGUAAUACCGUAUACGCCCUUUGGGGGAAUGAUUUAUCGGCGAAGGAUUAGCCCGCGUUGGAUUAGGUAGUUGGUGGGGUAAUGGCCUACCAAGCCGACGAUCCAUAGCUGGUUUGAGAGGAUGAUCAGCCACACUGGGACUGAGACACGGCCCAGACUCCUACGGGAGGCAGCAGUGGGGAAUCUGAGACAAUGGGGGCAACCCUGAUCUAGCCAUGCCGCGUGAGUGAUGAAGGCCUUAGGGUUGUAAAGCUCUUUCAGCUGGGAAGAUAAUGACGGUACCAGCAGAAGAAGCCCCGGCUAACUCCGU